This 86-nucleotide transfer RNA is filed under the name Gammaproteobacteria bacterium. Its description in RNAcentral is "tRNA-Leu". It matches the Rfam family "tRNA". From Rfam's summary of the family: Transfer RNA (tRNA) molecules are approximately 80 nucleotides in length. Their secondary structure includes four short double-helical elements and three loops (D, anti-codon, and T loops). Lineage: Bacteria; Pseudomonadati; Pseudomonadota; Gammaproteobacteria. The record is from RNAcentral.
GCCCAGGUGUUGGAACUGGUAGACAAGCUGGAUUUAGGUUCCAGUGUGCUUUGCACGUGCGAGUUCGAGUCUCGCCCUGGGCACCA